RNAcentral lists this small RNA (29 nucleotides) under Bombyx mori (domestic silkworm). RNAcentral's name for it is "ovarian small RNA-33052". Lineage: Eukaryota; Metazoa; Arthropoda; Insecta; Lepidoptera; Bombycidae. The record is from RNAcentral.
UGAUUCAGAUAAGUACCUGCUAGGUUCCU